Molecule: ribosomal RNA, 477 nt
Filed under: uncultured bacterium
Lineage: Bacteria
Description: bacterial SSU rRNA
Rfam family: Bacterial small subunit ribosomal RNA
Source: RNAcentral
AUUGAACGCUGGCGGCAUGCUUUACACAUGCAAGUCGAACGGUAACAGGCCGCAAGGUGCUGACGAGUGGCGAACGGGUGAGUAAUGCAUCGGAACGUGCCCAGUCGUGGGGGAUAACGCAGCGAAAGCUGCGCUAAUACCGCAUACGAUCUAUGGAUGAAAGCGGGGGACCGUAAGGCCUCGCGCGAUUGGAGCGGCCGAUGUCAGAUUAGGUAGUUGGUGGGGUAAAGGCUCACCAAGCCAACGAUCUGUAGCUGGUCUGAGAGGACGACCAGCCACACUGGAACUGAGACACGGUCCAGACUCCUACGGGAGGCAGCAGUGGGGAAUUUUGGACAAUGGGCGAAAGCCUGAUCCAGCCAUGCCGCGUGAGUGAAGAAGGCCUCGGUUGUAAGACUCUUCGGCUGGAGAAAUACGCACAGGCGUAAUACUCUGUGUGGAUGACGGUACCAGCACAAGAAGCACCGGCUAACUACG